AUUGAACGCUGGCGGCAGGCCUAACACAUGCAAGUCGAGCGGAUAAAGGGAGCUUGCUCCUGGAUUCAGCGGCGGACGGGUGAGUAAUGCCUACGAAUCUGCCUGGUAGUUGGGGAUAACGUCCGUACACGGGCGCUAAUACCGCAUACGUCCUGAUGUAGAACGUGGGGGAUCUUCGGACCUCACGCUAUCAGAUGAGCCUAGGUCGGAUUAGCUAGUUGGUGGGGUAAAGGCCUACCAAGGCGACGAUCCGUAACUGGUCUGAGAGGCUGAUCAGUCACACUGGAACUGAGACACGGUCCAGACUCCUACGGGAGGCAGCAGUGGGGAAUAUUGGACAAUGGGCGAAAGCCUGAUCCAGCCAUGCCGCGUGUGUGAAGAAGGUCUUCGGAUUGUAAAGCACUUUAAGUAGGGAGGAAGGGCAGUAAGUGAAUACCUGGCUGUUUUGACGUUACCAACAGAAUAAGCACCGGCUAACUUCGUG
This 484-nucleotide ribosomal RNA is filed under the name uncultured bacterium. RNAcentral describes it as "partial 16S ribosomal RNA". It matches the Rfam family "Bacterial small subunit ribosomal RNA", at positions 30 to 507 of the family's 1533-position model. The record is from RNAcentral.